GGUUAAGCGACUAAGCGUACACGGUGGAUGCCCCGGCAGUCAGAGGCGAUGAAGGACGUGCUAAUCUGCGAUAAGCGUCGGUAAGGUGAUAUGAACCGUUAUAACCGGCGAUUUCCGAAUGGGGAAACCCAGUGUGUUUCGACACACUAUCAUUAACUGAAUCCAUAGGUUAAUGAGGGCGAACCGGGGGAACUGAAACAUCUAAGUACCCCGAGGAAAAGAAAUCAACCGAGAUUCCCCCAGUAGCGGCGAGCGAACGGGGAGGAGCCCAGAGCCUGAAUCAGUGUGUGUGUUAGUGGAAGCGUCUGGAAAGGCGCGCGAUACAGGGUGACAGCCCCGUACACAAAAAUGCACAUGCUGUGAGCUCGAUGAGUAGGGCGGGACACGUGGUAUCCUGUCUGAAUAUGGGUGACCAUCCUCCAAGGCUAAAUACUCCUGACUGACCGAUAGUGAACCAGUACCGUGAGGGAAAGGCGAAAAGAACCCCGGCGAGGGGAGUGAAAAGAACCUGAAACCGUGUACGUACAAGCAGUGGGAGCACAGAGCAAUCUGUGUGACUGCGUACCUUUGUAUAAUGGGUCAGCGACUUAUAUUCUGUAGCAAGGUUAACCGAAUAGGGGAGCCGAAGGGAAACCGAGUCUUAACUGGGCGUUAAGUUGCAGGGUAUAGACCCGAAACCCGGUGAUCUAGCCAUGGGCAGGUUGAAGGUUGGGUAACACUAACUGGAGGACCGAACCGACUAAUGUUGAAAAAUUAGCGGAUGACUUGUGGCUGGGGGUGAAAGGCCAAUCAAACCGGGAGAUAGCUGGUUCUCCCCGAAAGCUAUUUAGGUAGCGCCUCGUGAAUUCAUCUCCGGGGGUAGAGCACUGUUUCGGCAAGGGGGUCAUCCCGACUUACCAACCCGAUGCAAACUGCGAAUACCGGAGAAUGUUAUCACGGGAGACACACGGCGGGUGCUAACGUCCGUCGUGAAGAGGGAAACAACCCAGACCGCCAGCUAAGGUCCCAAAGUCAUGGUUAAGUGGGAAACGAUGUGGGAAGGCCCAGACAGCCAGGAUGUUGGCUUAGAAGCAGCCAUCAUUUAAAGAAAGCGUAAUAGCUCACUGGUCGAGUCGGCCUGCGCGGAAGAUGUAACGGGGCUAAACCAUGCACCGAAGCUGCGGCAGCGACACUGUGUGUUGUUGGGUAGGGGAGCGUUCUGUAAGCCUGUGAAGGUGUGCUGUGAGGCAUGCUGGAGGUAUCAGAAGUGCGAAUGCUGACAUAAGUAACGAUAAAGCGGGUGAAAAGCCCGCUCGCCGGAAGACCAAGGGUUCCUGUCCAACGUUAAUCGGGGCAGGGUGAGUCGACCCUAAGGCGAGGCCGAAAGGCGUAGUCGAUGGGAAACAGGUUAAUAUUCCUGUACUUGGUGUUACUGCGAAGGGGGGGACGGAGAAGGCUAUGUUGGCCGGGCGACGGUUGUCCCGGUUUAAGCGUGUAGGCUGGUUUUCCAGGCAAAUCCGGAAAAUCAAGGCUGAGGCGUGAUGACGAGGCACUACGGUGCUGAAGCAACAAAUGCCCUGCUUCCAGGAAAAGCCUCUAAGCAUCAGGUAACAUCAAAUCGUACCCCAAACCGACACAGGUGGUCAGGUAGAGAAUACCAAGGCGCUUGAGAGAACUCGGGUGAAGGAACUAGGCAAAAUGGUGCCGUAACUUCGGGAGAAGGCACGCUGAUAUGUAGGUGAAGUCCCUCGCGGAUGGAGCUGAAAUCAGUCGAAGAUACCAGCUGGCUGCAACUGUUUAUUAAAAACACAGCACUGUGCAAACACGAAAGUGGACGUAUACGGUGUGACGCCUGCCCGGUGCCGGAAGGUUAAUUGAUGGGGUCAGCGCAAGCGAAGCUCUUGAUCGAAGCCCCGGUAAACGGCGGCCGUAACUAUAACGGUCCUAAGGUAGCGAAAUUCCUUGUCGGGUAAGUUCCGACCUGCACGAAUGGCGUAAUGAUGGCCGGGCUGUCUCCACCCGAGACUCAGUGAAAUUGAACUCGCUGUGAAGAUGCAGUGUACCCGCGGCAAGACGGAAAGACCCCGUGAACCUUUACUAUAGCUUGACACUGAACAUUGAGCCUUGAUGUGUGGGAUAGGUGGGAGGCUUUGAAGUGUGGACGCCAGUCUGCAUGGAGCCGACCUUGAAAUACCACCCUUUAAUGUUUGAUGUUCUAACGUGGACCCGUGAUCCGGGUUGCGGACAGUGUCUGGUGGGUAGUUUGACUGGGGCGGUCUCCUCCUAAAGAGUAACGGAGGAGCACGAAGGUUGGCUAAUCCUGGUCGGACAUCAGGAGGUUAGUGCAAUGGCAUAAGCCAGCUUGACUGCGAGCGUGACGGCGCGAGCAGGUGCGAAAAGCAGGUCAUAGUGAUCCGGUGGUUCUGAAUGGAAGGGCCAUCGCUCAACGGAUAAAAGGUACUCCGGGGAUAACAGGCUGAUACCGCCCAAGAGUUCAUAUCGACGGCGGUGUUUGGCACCUCGAUGUCGGCUCAUCACAUCCUGGGGCUGAAGUAGGUCCCAAGGGUAUGGCUGUUCGCCAUUUAAAGUGGUACGCGAGCUGGGUUUAGAACGUCGUGAGACAGUUCGGUCCCUAUCUGCCGUGGGCGCUGGAGAACUGAGGGGGGCUGCUCCUAGUACGAGAGGACCGGAGUGGACGCAUCACUGGUGUUCGGGUUGUCAUGCCAAUGGCACUGCCCGGUAGCUAAAUGCGGAAGAGAUAAGUGCUGAAAGCAUCUAAGCACGAAACUUGCCCCGAGAUGAGUUCUCCCUGACCCUUUAAGGGUCCUGAAGGAACGUUGAAGACGACGACGUUGAUAGGCCGGGUGUGUAAGCGCAGCGAUGCGUUGAGCUAACCGGUACUAAUGAACCGUGAGGCUUAACCUU
Molecule: ribosomal RNA, 2904 nt
Filed under: Escherichia coli
Lineage: Bacteria; Pseudomonadati; Pseudomonadota; Gammaproteobacteria; Enterobacterales; Enterobacteriaceae
Description: 23S ribosomal RNA
Rfam family: Bacterial large subunit ribosomal RNA
Source: RNAcentral